RNAcentral lists this ribosomal RNA (472 nucleotides) under uncultured eubacterium WR190. RNAcentral describes it as "bacterial SSU rRNA". It matches the Rfam family "Bacterial small subunit ribosomal RNA", at positions 9 to 527 of the family's 1533-position model. The record is from RNAcentral.
GAGUUUGAUCCUGGCUCAGAACGAACGCUGGCGGCAUGCCUAACACAUGCAAGUCGAACGAGAUCCUUCGGGGUCUAGUGGCGCACGGGUGCGUAACGCGUGGGAAUCUGCCCCUUGCUUCGGAAUAACAGUUAGAAAUGACUGCUAAUACCGGAUGAUGACUUCGGUCCAAAGAUUUAUCGGCAAGGGAUGAGCCCGCGUAGGAUUAGGUAGUUGGUGGGGUAAAGGCCUACCAAGCCGACGAUCCUUAGCUGGUCUGAGAGGAUGAUCAGCCACUGGGACUGAGACACGGCCCAGACUCCUACGGGAGGCAGCAGUGGGGAAUAUUGGACAAUGGGCGAAAGCCUGAUCCAGCAAUGCCGCGUGAGUGAUGAAGGCCUUAGGGUUGUAAAGCUCUUUUACCCGGGAUGAUAAUGACAGUACCGGGAGAAUAAGCUCCGGCUAACUCCGUGCCAGCAGCCGCGGUAAUACG